This 2799-nucleotide ribosomal RNA is filed under the name Salmonella enterica subsp. enterica serovar Typhimurium. RNAcentral's name for it is "partial 23S ribosomal RNA". It matches the Rfam family "Bacterial large subunit ribosomal RNA". Lineage: Bacteria; Pseudomonadati; Pseudomonadota; Gammaproteobacteria; Enterobacterales; Enterobacteriaceae. The record is from RNAcentral.
AUCUGCGAUAAGCGCCGGUAAGGUGAUAUGAACCGUUAUAACCGGCGAUACCCGAAUGGGGAAACCCAGUGUGAUUCGUCACACUAUCAUUAACUGAAUCCAUAGGUUAAUGAGGCGAACCGGGGGAACUGAAACAUCUAAGUACCCCGAGGAAAAGAAAUCAACCGAGAUUCCCCCAGUAGCGGCGAGCGAACGGGGAGGAGCCCAGAGCCUGAAUCAGCAUGUGUGUUAGUGGAAGCGUCUGGAAAGGCGCGCGAUACAGGGUGACAGCCCCGUACACAAAAGCGCAUGUGCUGUGAGCUCGAUGAGUAGGGCGGGACACGUGGUAUCCUGUCUGAAUAUGGGGGGACCAUCCUCCAAGGCUAAAUACUCCUGACUGACCGAUAGUGAACCAGUACCGUGAGGGAAAGGCGAAAAGAACCCCGGCGAGGGGAGUGAAAAAGAACCUGAAACCGUGUACGUACAAGCAGUGGGAGCACCCUUCGGGGUGUGACUGCGUACCUUUUGUAUAAUGGGUCAGCGACUUAUAUUCUGUAGCAAGGUUAACCGUAUAGGGGAGCCGGAGGGAAACCGAGUCUUAAUUGGGCGUUAAGUUGCAGGGUAUAGACCCGAAACCCGGUGAUCUAGCCAUGGGCAGGUUGAAGGUUGGGUAACACUAACUGGAGGACCGAACCGACUAAUGUUGAAAAAUUAGCGGAUGACCUGUGGCUGGGGGUGAAAGGCCAAUCAAACCGGGAGAUAGCUGGUUCUCCCCGAAAGCUAUUUAGGUAGCGCCUCGUGAAUUCAUCUCCGGGGGUAGAGCACUGUUUCGGCUAGGGGGCCAUCCCGGCUUACCAACCCGAUGCAAACUGCGAAUACCGGAGAAUGUUAUCACGGGAGACACACGGCGGGUGCUAACGUCCGUCGUGAAGAGGGAAACAACCCAGACCGCCAGCUAAGGUCCCAAAGUCAUGGUUAAGUGGGAAACGAUGUGGGAAGGCCCAGACAGCCAGGAUGUUGGCUUAGAAGCAGCCAUCAUUUAAAGAAAGCGUAAUAGCUCACUGGUCGAGUCGGCCUGCGCGGAAGAUGUAACGGGGCUAAACCAUGCACCGAAGCUGCGGCAGCGAACGUAUCACCCAAGACAACUUUACGGAGUUGACGAUUGACGGAGCGAAGCGACGUCAAAGCGUUCAUUAAAGUCGAGUUGGCUUAGGGAUACGUUCGUUGGGUAGGGGAGCGUUCUGUAAGCCUGUGAAGGUGUGUCGUGAGGCAUGCUGGAGGUAUCAGAAGUGCGAAUGCUGACAUAAGUAACGAUAAAGCGGGUGAAAAGCCCGCUCGCCGGAAGACCAAGGGUUCCUGUCCAACGUUAAUCGGGGCAGGGUGAGUCGACCCCUAAGGCGAGGCCGAAAGGCGUAGUCGAUGGGAAACGGGUUAAUAUUCCCGUACUUGGUGUUACUGCGAAGGGGGGACGGAGAAGGCUAUGUUGGCCGGGCGACGGUUGUCCCGGUUUAAGCGUGUAGGUGUGUGUUCCAGGUAAAUCCGGUUCACUUUAACACUGAGGCGUGACGACGAGGCACUACGGUGCUGAAGCAACAAAUGCCCUGCUUCCAGGAAAAGCCUCUAAGCAUCAGGUAACACGAAAUCGUACCCCAAACCGACACAGGUGGUCAGGUAGAGAAUACCAAGGCGCUUGAGAGAACUCGGGUGAAGGAACUAGGCAAAAUGGUGCCGUAACUUCGGGAGAAGGCACGCUGACACGUAGGUGAAGUGAUUUACUCAUGGAGCUGAAGUCAGUCGAAGAUACCAGCUGGCUGCAACUGUUUAUUAAAAACACAGCACUGUGCAAACACGAAAGUGGACGUAUACGGUGUGACGCCUGCCCGGUGCCGGAAGGUUAAUUGAUGGGGUCAGCGCAAGCGAAGCUCCUGAUCGAAGCCCCGGUAAACGGCGGCCGUAACUAUAACGGUCCUAAGGUAGCGAAAUUCCUUGUCGGGUAAGUUCCGACCUGCACGAAUGGCGUAAUGAUGGCCAGGCUGUCUCCACCCGAGACUCAGUGAAAUUGAACUCGCUGUGAAGAUGCAGUGUACCCGCGGCAAGACGGAAAGACCCCGUGAACCUUUACUAUAGCUUGACACUGAACAUUGAGCCUUGAUGUGUAGGAUAGGUGGGAGGCUUUGAAGUGUGGACGCCAGUCUGCAUGGAGCCGACCUUGAAAUACCACCCUUUAAUGUUUGAUGUUCUAACGUGGACCCGUAAUCCGGGUUGCGGACAGUGUCUGGUGGGUAGUUUGACUGGGGCGGUCUCCUCCUAAAGAGUAACGGAGGAGCACGAAGGUUGGCUAAUCCUGGUCGGACAUCAGGAGGUUAGUGCAAUGGCAUAAGCCAGCUUGACUGCGAGCGUGACGGCGCGAGCAGGUGCGAAAGCAGGUCAUAGUGAUCCGGUGGUUCUGAAUGGAAGGGCCAUCGCUCAACGGAUAAAAGGUACUCCGGGGAUAACAGGCUGAUACCGCCCAAGAGUUCAUAUCGACGGCGGUGUUUGGCACCUCGAUGUCGGCUCAUCACAUCCUGGGGCUGAAGUAGGUCCCAAGGGUAUGGCUGUUCGCCAUUUAAAGUGGUACGCGAGCUGGGUUUAGAACGUCGUGAGACAGUUCGGUCCCUAUCUGCCGUGGGCGCUGGAGAACUGAGGGGGGCUGCUCCUAGUACGAGAGGACCGGAGUGGACGCAUCACUGGUGUUCGGGUUGUCAUGCCAAUGGCACUGCCCGGUAGCUAAAUGCGGAAGAGAUAAGUGCUGAAAGCAUCUAAGCACGAAACUUGCCCCGA